CAGCAGCCGCCGCGGUAAUACGUAGGGUGCAAGCGUUAAUCGGAAUUACUGGGCGUAAAGCGUGCGCAGGCGGUUCUAUAAGACAGAUGUGAAAUCCCCGGGCUCAACCUGGGAACUGCAUUUGUGACUGUAGAGCUGGAGUGCGGCAGAGGGGGAUGGAAUUCCGCGUGUAGCAGUGAAAUGCGUAGAUAUGCGAAGGAACACCGAUGGCGAAGGCAAUCCCCUGGGCCUGCACUGACGCUCAUGCACGAAAGCGUGGGGAGCAAACAGGAUUAGAUACCCCGGUAGUCCCUGUCUCUUAUAC
RNAcentral lists this ribosomal RNA (304 nucleotides) under uncultured bacterium. RNAcentral describes it as "partial 16S ribosomal RNA". It matches the Rfam family "Bacterial small subunit ribosomal RNA", at positions 506 to 807 of the family's 1533-position model. The record is from RNAcentral.